Tyto alba (common barn owl) is the source of this 283-nucleotide long non-coding RNA. RefSeq lists it as uncharacterized. Lineage: Eukaryota; Metazoa; Chordata; Aves; Strigiformes; Tytonidae. The record is from RefSeq and is a predicted model, not a curated record. The transcript has 3 exons.
CCGAAAAUGCGGUCCUGCAGCCCCGGGGCCGCGCAGGCGCGGUGGGGGCGCCCUCUGCAGCGAUCGCGGCUCCCUCCGCGGUUACCGGCACCGUGACGCGGCGGUGCUUGCGGAGCGGCGCCGCCUCGCCCGUCGCUUCCUCCCGAAAGUCGGUAUUCAAGAUACUCCUGUGGGAUAUAUUCAGGACUGAAUUGGUGCCCAGCAACUUCCUUGAGAUCAACAUCUUCAGCCCGCAAUCUGUGAGCAUGGACCACACCAGAUACAGCUGCUAGGAGCUCCAGAU